GACGAACGCUGGCGGCGUGCUUAACACAUGCAAGUCGAACGGAAAGGCCCUGCUUUUGUGGGGUGCUCGAGUGGCGAACGGGUGAGUAACACGUGAGUAACCUGCCCUUGACUUUGGGAUAACUUCAGGAAACUGGGGCUAAUACCGGAUAGGAGCUCCUGCUGCAUGGUGGGGGUUGGAAAGUUUCGGCGGUUGGGGAUGGACUGGCGGCUUAUCAGCUUGUUGGUGGGGUAGUGGCUUACCAAGGCUUUGACGGGUAGCCGGCCUGAGAGGGUGACCGGCCACAUUGGGCCUGAGAUACGGCCCAGACUCGAACGGGAGGCAGCAGUGGGGAAUAUUGCACAAUGGGCGGAAGCCUGAGGAAGCAGCGCCGCGUGCGGAAUGCCGGCCUUCGGGUUGUAAACAGCUUUCGCCUGUGACGAAGCGUGAGUGACGGUAAUGGGUAAAGAAGCACCGGCUAACUACGUG
Molecule: ribosomal RNA, 468 nt
Filed under: uncultured bacterium
Lineage: Bacteria
Description: partial 16S ribosomal RNA
Rfam family: Bacterial small subunit ribosomal RNA
Source: RNAcentral